GACGAACGCUGGCGGCGUGCUUAACACAUGCAAGUCGAACGGAAAGGCCCUGCUCUUGCGGGGUGCUCGUGUGGCGAACGGGUGAGUAACACGUGAGUAACCUGCCCUUGUCUUUGGGAUAACUUCAGGAAACUGGGGCUAAUACCGGAUAGGAUCUCCUGCUGCACGGUGGUGGAUGGAGAGUUUCGGCGGUUGGGGAUGGACUCGCGGCUUAUCAGCUUGAUGGUGGGGUAGUGGCUUACCAAGCGUUUGACGGGUAGGCGGCCUGGGAGGGUGACCGGGCACAUGGGGACUGAGAGACGGCGCAGACGGCAACGGGAGGCAGCAGUGGAGAGUAUGGCACAGUGGGCGGAAGCCUGAGACAGCAACGCCGGGUGCGGGAUGACGGCCUUCGGGUGGUGAACCGCUUUCGCCGGAGACGAAGCGUGAGUGACGGUAACUAGUAAAGAAGCACCGGCUAACUACGUG
Molecule: ribosomal RNA, 468 nt
Filed under: uncultured bacterium
Lineage: Bacteria
Description: partial 16S ribosomal RNA
Rfam family: Bacterial small subunit ribosomal RNA
Source: RNAcentral